RNAcentral lists this ribosomal RNA (620 nucleotides) under Bacillus altitudinis. RNAcentral describes it as "bacterial SSU rRNA". It matches the Rfam family "Bacterial small subunit ribosomal RNA", at positions 73 to 678 of the family's 1533-position model. The record is from RNAcentral. Lineage: Bacteria; Bacillati; Bacillota; Bacilli; Caryophanales; Bacillaceae.
AGGGAGCUUGCUCCCGGAUGUUAGCGGCGGACGGGUGAGUAACACGUGGGUAACCUGCCUGUAAGACUGGGAUAACUCCGGGAAACCGGAGCUAAUACCGGAUAGUUCCUUGAACCGCAUGGUUCAAGGAUGAAAGACGGUUUCGGCUGUCACUUACAGAUGGACCCGCGGCGCAUUAGCUAGUUGGUGAGGUAACGGCUCACCAAGGCGACGAUGCGUAGCCGACCUGAGAGGGUGAUCGGCCACACUGGGACUGAGACACGGCCCAGACUCCUACGGGAGGCAGCAGUAGGGAAUCUUCCGCAAUGGACGAAAGUCUGACGGAGCAACGCCGCGUGAGUGAUGAAGGUUUUCGGAUCGUAAAGCUCUGUUGUUAGGGAAGAACAAGUGCAAGAGUAACUGCUUGCACCUUGACGGUACCUAACCAGAAAGCCACGGCUAACUACGUGCCAGCAGCCGCGGUAAUACGUAGGUGGCAAGCGUUGUCCGGAAUUAUUGGGCGUAAAGGGCUCGCAGGCGGUUUCUUAAGUCUGAUGUGAAAGCCCCCGGCUCAACCGGGGAGGGUCAUUGGAAACUGGGAAACUUGAGUGCAGAAGAGGAGAGUGGAAUUCCACGUGUAG